UCGAGAAUCAUUCACAAUGGGCGAAAGCCUGAUGGUGCAACGCCGCGUGGAGGACGAAGGCCCUAGGGUCGUAAACUCCUGUCAUCAGAGAGUAAUGCUUAUGAGUUAAUAGCUUGUAAGUUUGAUAGUAUCUGAAGAGGAAGGGACGGCUAACUUCGUGCCAGCAGCCGCGGUAAUACGAAGGUCCCAAGCGUUGUUCGGAAUCACUGGGCGUAAAGGGAGCGUAGGCGGUAAGGAAAGUCAGAUGUGAAAUCCCGGGGCUCAACCUCGGAACUGCAUUUGAUACUCCCUUACUAGAGUAUUGGAGAGGUAGAAGGAAUUCUCGGUGUAGCAGUGAAAUGCGUGGAUAUCGAGAGGAAGACCAAUGGCGAAGGCAUUCUACUGGACAAUUACUGACGCUGAGGCUCGAAGGCUAGGGUAGCGAAAGGGAUUAGAUACCCCCGUAGUCC
Molecule: ribosomal RNA, 449 nt
Filed under: uncultured prokaryote
Description: bacterial SSU rRNA
Rfam family: Bacterial small subunit ribosomal RNA
Source: RNAcentral